AGUGAACGCUGGCGGUAGGCCUAACACAUGCAAGUCGAACGGCAGCACAGUAAGAGCUUGCUCUUACGGGUGGCGAGUGGCGGACGGGUGAGGAAUACAUCGGAAUCUACUUUUUCGUGGGGGAUAACGUAGGGAAACUUACGCUAAUACCGCAUACGACCUACGGGUGAAAUCAGGGGAUCUUCGGACCUUGCGCGAUUGAAUGAGCCGAUGUCGGAUUAGCUAGUUGGCGGGGUAAAGGCCCACCAAGGCGACGAUCCGUAGCUGGUCUGAGAGGAUGAUCAGCCACACUGGAACUGAGACACGGUCCAGACUCCUACGGGAGGCAGCAGUGGGGAAUAUUGGACAAUGCGCGCAAGCCUGAUCCAGCCAUACCGCGUGGGUGAAGAAGGCCUUCGGGUUGUAAAGCCCUUUUGUUGGGAAAGAAAAGCAGCAGGUUAAUACCCCGCUGUUCUGACGGUACCCAAAGAAUAAGCACCGGCUAACUUCGUG
Molecule: ribosomal RNA, 492 nt
Filed under: uncultured bacterium
Lineage: Bacteria
Description: partial 16S ribosomal RNA
Rfam family: Bacterial small subunit ribosomal RNA
Source: RNAcentral